This 276-nucleotide unclassified non-coding RNA is filed under the name air metagenome. RNAcentral describes it as "partial contains small subunit ribosomal RNA, internal transcribed spacer 1, and 5.8S ribosomal RNA". The stretch from base 1 to 46 matches the Rfam family "Eukaryotic small subunit ribosomal RNA", at positions 1786 to 1831 of the family's 1831-position model. The record is from RNAcentral.
AAGUCGUAACAAGGUUUCCGUAGGUGAACCUGCGGAAGGAUCAUUAUUGAAAAUGAAACUUUGGCUUAGGCUGUCGCUGACUCUUAGGAGUAUGUGCACGUCUAGCUAUCAUUUUUUUUCACCACAUGUGCACUUUUUGUAGACUUGAAUUAUAGAGGACGCUUUGUAACUCUAGUCUAUGUUUAAACAAAUUUAUAUAACCCUUUAUGAAUGUAAUAGAAUGAUGAUGAUAUUAUUAUAAUAAUACAACUUUCAACAACGGAUCUCUUGGCUCUC